This 253-nucleotide ribosomal RNA is filed under the name uncultured bacterium. RNAcentral's name for it is "partial 16S ribosomal RNA". It matches the Rfam family "Bacterial small subunit ribosomal RNA", at positions 524 to 776 of the family's 1533-position model. The record is from RNAcentral.
UACGGAGGGUGCAAGCGUUAUCCGGAUUUACUGGGUUUAAAGGGUGCGUAGGUGGGUAGGUAAGUCAGUGGUGAAAUCUUCGAGCUUAACUCGGAAACUGCCAUUGAUACUAUUUAUCUUGAAUUCUGUUGAGGUAGGCGGAAUAUAUCAUGUAGCGGUGAAAUGCUUAGAUAUGAUAUAGAACACCGAUUGCGAAGGCAGCUUACUAAACAGACAUUGACGCUGAGGCACGAAAGCGUGGGGAUCAAACAGG